This 441-nucleotide ribosomal RNA is filed under the name uncultured bacterium. RNAcentral describes it as "partial 16S ribosomal RNA". It matches the Rfam family "Bacterial small subunit ribosomal RNA", at positions 338 to 795 of the family's 1533-position model. The record is from RNAcentral.
CCUACGGGGGGCAGCAGUCGGGAAUAUUGCGCAAUGGAGGAAACUCUGACGCAGUGACGCCGCGUGCAGGAAGAAGGUUUUCGGAUUGUAAACUGCUUUAGACAGGGAAGAAAAAAGACAGUACCUGUAGAAUAAGCUCCGGCUAACUACGUGCCAGCAGCCGCGGUAAUACGUAGGGGGCGAGCGUUAUCCGGAUUCACUGGGUGUAAAGGGAGCGUAGACGGCCAUGCAAGCCAGGGGUGAAAGCCCGGGGCCCAACCCCGGGACUGCCCUUGGAACUGCAUGGCUGGAGUGCGGGAGGGGCAGGCGGAAUUCCUGGUGUAGCGGUGAAAUGCGUAGAUAUCAGGAGGAACACCGGCGGCGAAGGCGGCCUGCUGGACCGCGACUGACGUUGAGGCUCGAAAGCGUGGGGAGCGAACAGGAUUAGAUACCCCUGUAGUC